RNAcentral lists this ribosomal RNA (253 nucleotides) under uncultured bacterium. RNAcentral's name for it is "partial 16S ribosomal RNA". It matches the Rfam family "Bacterial small subunit ribosomal RNA", at positions 524 to 776 of the family's 1533-position model. The record is from RNAcentral.
UACGGAGGGCGCGAGCGUUAAUCGGAAUUACUGGGCGUAAAGCGCGCGUAGGCUGUUGUGUAAGUUGGGGGUGAAAUCCCACGGCUCAACCGUGGAACAGCCCUUGAUACUGCGCGACUUGAAUCCGGGAGAGGGUGGCGGAAUUCCAGGUGUAGGAGUGAAAUCCGUAGAUAUCUGGAGAAACAUCAGUGGCGAAGGCGGCCACCUGGACCGGUAUUGACGCUGAGGCGCGAAAGCGUGGGGAGCAAACAGG